CUGGGAGCCAGGACUCCUGGGUUCUCUCCCUGGUUCUGGGAGGGGAGUGGGGUCUACGGGGGUGGGGGGGGGCAGGAGCCAGGACUCCUGGGUUCUCUCCCUGGCUCUGGGAGGGGAGUGGGGUCUAGUGGUUUAAAGCAGGGGGGGCAGGAGCCAGGACUCCUGGGUUCUCUCCCUGGUUCUGGGAGGGGAGUGGGGUCUGGUGGGUUAAGGGGGGGGGGCAGGAGCCAGGACUCCUGGGUUCUCUCCCCAGCUCUGGGAGGGGAGUGGGGUCUAGUGGGUUAGAGCAGGGGGGGCUGGGAGCCAGGACUCCUGGGUUCUCUCCGUGGUUCUGGGAGAGGAGUAGGGUCAGGGAGCUGGGACUUCUGGGUUCUCUCCCUGGCCUGGGGAGGGGAGCAGCAGCCAGUGGUUAGACCCCUGUGUUCUAGCCUCGGCUCUGGGAGGGGAGGCGGGACCCAGGACUCCUGGGUUCUAUAGACACCCCCACGCUAAUUUUUAUUAUCAAAGUUUAUUCCGAGAUCUGUAAAAAGAAAUCAUCAGAACCAACCAAAUCAAAUAAAAAUAAAAUAAUCAAUCGCCCCAGCCCCCACCCGCUACCCAUGAGCCCCCCUAUAUAUAUAUAUA
This is a long non-coding RNA of Gopherus flavomarginatus (Mexican gopher tortoise), 624 nucleotides long. RefSeq lists it as uncharacterized. The transcript is spliced from 2 exons. NCBI's taxonomy places the organism in Eukaryota, Metazoa, Chordata, Testudines, Testudinidae. The record is from RefSeq and is a predicted model, not a curated record.